Molecule: non-coding RNA, 630 nt
Organism: Paramuricea clavata
Lineage: Eukaryota; Metazoa; Cnidaria; Anthozoa; Malacalcyonacea; Plexauridae
Source: the annotation of a GenBank genome assembly
UAGCGAAGGAGGCAAAACUUAUCAAUUCAUAAUGAAUUCAGCAACAUGAAUUUCCACUCGCUUGGAUGAAUUAAUUUGAACUGCACCGUGCGGUUUAAUUGCGGUCAAUAAGUCGGUCAUGGUGGGGUUCGGUUGAGGUUAUACUGCGGUUUAAUUUGUUAAGUUGCGAUAUUAACUACGGUUUUGUUCGCUUAUUUUGUUCGGUGCUGUACGCAUCGUUAAUAAACGGAACAAUGUAUUUAUGCCAAGAUAGUUGGAAAACAAAAGUACGAUACAAUCUCGAAUCGCGAUACAUAUUCAAAUUAUCAAAAAUGAUUUGCAUGUUCAGUAAAAUGUAUCAGUUCAUAAUGAAUUUAAAAGAUCUAAACGUUAAAAUGAAAUUUCUGGUUACGAAAACAUUUUUGAAUAUUUGAAUUUUUUUGAAAAUUUUAAAAGUUGUAAAAUACUAUAGUAUAUAUUGGCAGACAAGAUAUUGUGCAAGCAACUUGUUUUCUCGCACAAGAAACUUAUUAAAUAUACAUUAUACUUGGCUGCACAAUUGCACGGCGGAUACGGCACACUUUAUAGUAAAGUUCGUCUUAAUUCUACAUUUUUUCAUAUGAAAUGAAUAUUAGGUGUGAAUAAGGAUGU